AACUCCUAGCCUGGGAACUUCGAUAUGCCGCAGGUGCGGCCCUAAAGAAAAAAAUUUUUUUUAAUUUUAUAAAAAAAUAAAAACCGGGCUUCGUGGAGAUACAAGUGAAUUCUACACUCCUAUAGCUCCAGCAACCAUGUCAGGAACGAGGCCUCACCCCCUAGAUCUCCAGCUUAGAGAAAACAGCCCUUUGGCCAUAGAGGCUGGGCUGUGAAUCUUAUGCAAACAGUAAGGAGCAAAUAUCAAUGGCGCUGCCUGUGGUAAAAAGGAAGAGGAAGUGGAAAGCUAGUCCCUUCCGUCCCUGCAGAAGUUGAAAAAAGAAAGGAGAUGGAGGAAGAAUGAGGAGGCCAUUAAUAGGUCCUUACCCUGCACCCCCACACCUGCCCCACCUGCUGAGCUGCCCCCCCCCCACCUUGGGGAGGGCUAGAAACACGGAGGUGGGUGUGAGGAGAGGCUGAAGGCCUGUCUUUCAGCACAGUCCGGGCAGGUUGGAAGCCUCUCUGGGAAUUCCUAGUUUCACUGGGCUGCAGGGUUGCCUUGGAGGAAAGCAGCCGACAGGUGAACCAGAAGUAAUAGCCCUGGAUCCCUUGCCUCUCCAGGCCUGGAGGACUGUGGGAGGCCUGGAAAUGGACACCGAGGCCCCCACCAGGGGGGUAGCCCUUUAAGCCAGCAUGGCUCCCCAGAAGGCCGAGGGGAACACACGACCCUCUGUUGACCAUUCCAGAAGCGGGGCCAGCCCAGCCUCUCUGCAGCAGAGCCCAGGGAGGGUCCUGGACCCCUCCCCCAGCCCACACCAGGCCUCAAAGCCCCCAGGUGCCGACUGGGAGAAGAGCAGGGGGAGGGAGAGGAAACACGAGGCUGAGUUGUCCAGAAGACAGAAGAUGCUGAACAUGAUGAACCAGCAAGUGCCAAGUCUGCUCCUCCCAGCUGCCUAAAAGGUGGUGCAGAGAUUACAUCUACCACAGAAAAUAAGGUCUGCCUGCUAUGCACAGUGCAGCAAUGUGACGCUUUGACGACACCCACACCCCUCCCCCGAACACAUGUAUCUCUUGGCUGCAGCAAAGUCUGUCCCCCGACAGUUCUCAAGUAAACACAUCACUGCCACGAUUCUUCUACAAUUUCUUUUCGCUCUUUUCUGUGACUACGUAUCUGUUUCUAACUGUUCAAAAGCCAACUUUCCAUCUCUGAUGCCUUUGAUAGGCGUGUGAUUUGGGGCAACAGUGAACAAAACCCAAGCCUUGUGAGGAGGCAAAGAUAAACACAAGGCGACCAGCUGCAGUGACUCUGGACCAGAUCACAGCCUGCAGCGGCCCUGGCUGGGGGCAGGUGGAGGGGAGGGGACUGGAGGUUCAGGAGUUCAGGAAAAGAGCUGAGGAAUGAUGCCACCAUCAACUUCAUGCAGCAAAAGCCAGCAUGACAACAGGACUCCACGAUGGCAGACUCCCCCCGCCGCCCCCCCCACCCCGACCAGGAGACAGGUCAUUGGUGGCUUUGAAGAUGGAAGAGACCACAAGCCAAGGAAUGCAAGUGGCCUCUAGAAGCUGGAAAAGGCAAGAAAACACAUCCUCCUCUAGACCUUCCAGAAGGAAACACAGCUCUGCCGACACAUUGAUUUUAGCCCAGGAAGACGUACACCAGACUCCCGACCUCCAGAAUUACAAGACAAUAAAUCUGUGUUAAGUCAC
Molecule: non-coding RNA, 1685 nt
Organism: Sus scrofa (pig)
Lineage: Eukaryota; Metazoa; Chordata; Mammalia; Artiodactyla; Suidae
Source: RefSeq, a predicted model, not a curated record